CCUACGGGGGGCAGCAGUAAGGGAUAUUGCACAAUGGGCGCAAGCCUGAUGCAGCAACGCCGCGUGCAGGAAGAAGGUCUUCGGAUCGUAAACUGCUUUUCUGCGGGACGAUGAUGACGGUACCGCAGGAAGAAGUCUCGGCUAACUACGUGCCAGCAGCCGCGGUAAAACGUAGGAGGCAAGCGUUAUCCGGAUUUACUGGGCGUAAAGGGCGUGCAGGUGGCUGUGUAAGUGGUGCGUGAAAGCGCCCGGCUCAACCGGGCGAGGCCGUGCCAAACUGCACAACUAGAAACAGGCAGAGGAAAGUGGAAUUCGGGGUGUAGUGGUGAAAUGCGUAGAGAUCCCGAGGAACUCCUGUGGCGAAGGCGACUUUCUGGGCCUGCUUUGACACUCAGACGCGAAAGCAUGGGGAGCGAACGGGAUUAGAUACCCUUGUAGUC
Molecule: ribosomal RNA, 440 nt
Filed under: uncultured bacterium
Lineage: Bacteria
Description: bacterial SSU rRNA
Rfam family: Bacterial small subunit ribosomal RNA
Source: RNAcentral